This 540-nucleotide ribosomal RNA is filed under the name uncultured Fibrobacterota bacterium. Its description in RNAcentral is "bacterial SSU rRNA". It matches the Rfam family "Bacterial small subunit ribosomal RNA", at positions 366 to 896 of the family's 1533-position model. The record is from RNAcentral. Lineage: Bacteria; Pseudomonadati; Fibrobacterota.
GCGCAAUGGGCGAAAGCCUGACGCAGCAACGCCGCGUGACCGAUGAAGCUUCUAGGAGUGUAAAGGUCUGUCGUGAGGGAAGAAAAAUCCGGAUGUAAAUAAUGUUCGGACGUGACGGUACCUCACAAGAAAGCACCGGCUAACUUAGUGCCAGCAGCCGCGGUAAUACUAGGGGUGCUAGCGUUGUCCGGAAUCACUGGGCGUAAAGGGUCCGUAGGCGUUUUGCUAAGUUGAUUGUUAAAUCCAUCGGCUCAACCGAUGAUCUGCAAUCAAAACUGGUAGAAUAGAGUUCGAGAGAGGAAAGUGGAAUUCCUGGUGUAGCGGUGACAUGCGUAGAUAUCAGGAGGAACACCAAUGGCGAAGGCAGCUUUCUGGCUCGAUACUGACGCUGAGGGACGAAAGCGUGGGGAGCGAACAGGAUUAGAUACCCUGGUAGUCCACGCCGUAAACGAUGAGUACUUGAUGAUGGAGGAUUCGACCCCUUCGUUGUCGUAGCUAACGCGAUAAGUACUCCGCCUGGGGACUACGACCGCAAGGUUG